GAUGAACGCUGGCGGCGUGCUUAACACAUGCAAGUCGAACGAAGCACUUUAUUUGAUUUCCUUCGGGACUGAUUAUUUUGUGACUGAGUGGCGGACGGGUGAGUAACGCGUGGGUAACCUGCCUUGUACAGGGGGAUAACAGUUGGAAACGGCUGCUAAUACCGCAUAAGCGCACAGCAUCGCAUGAUGCAGUGUGAAAAACUCCGGUGGUAUAAGUUGGACCCGCGUUGGAUUAGCUAGUUGGUGAGGUAACGGCCCACCAAGGCGACGAUCCAUAGCCGACCUGAGAGGGUGACCGGCCACAUUGGGACUGAGACACGGCCCAAACUCCUACGGGAGGCAGCAGUGGGGAAUAUUGCACAAUGGGCGAAAGCCUGAUGCAGCGACGCCGCGUGAGCGAAGAAGUAUUUCGGUAUGUAAAGCUCUAUCAGCAGGGAAGAUAAUGACGGUACCUGACUAAGAAGCACCGGCUAAAUACGUG
Molecule: ribosomal RNA, 481 nt
Filed under: uncultured bacterium
Lineage: Bacteria
Description: partial 16S ribosomal RNA
Rfam family: Bacterial small subunit ribosomal RNA
Source: RNAcentral